This 468-nucleotide ribosomal RNA is filed under the name uncultured bacterium. RNAcentral describes it as "partial 16S ribosomal RNA". It matches the Rfam family "Bacterial small subunit ribosomal RNA", at positions 28 to 507 of the family's 1533-position model. The record is from RNAcentral.
GACGAACGCUGGCGGCGUGCUUAAUACAUGCAAGUCGAACGGAAAGGCCCUGCUUUUGUGGGGUGCUCGAGUGGCGAACAGGUGUGUAACACGUGAGUAACCUGCCCUUGACUUUGGGAUAACUUCAGGAAACUGGGGCUCAUAUCGCAUAUGAGCUCCUGCUGCAUGGUGGUGGUUGGUAAGAUUCGGCGGUUGUGGAUGGACUCGCGGCUUAUCAGCUUGUUGGUGGGGUAGUUGCUUACCACGGCUUUGACGGGUAGCCGGCCUGGGAGGGUGACCGGCCACAUUGGGACUGAGAUACGGCCCAGACGCGUACGGGAGGCAGCGGUGGGGAACAUUGCGCAAUGGGCGGAAGCCUGAUGCAGCAACGCCGCGUGCGGGAUGACGGCCUUUGGGGUGUAAACCGCUUUCGACUGUGAUGAAGAGUGAGUGACGGUAAUUGGUAAGGAAGCAACGGCUAACUACGUG